CUCCCUCAUGCCGGCUGGAGAACACCCAGGCAUACGGCUUGAGGCAGGUGACGCAGGUCACCAGCGAAUCGACCACAGGCGUAUUGAUCCGGUACCGCUGAUUGGAGGUGGUGUUGGUUGUCGUCCGCGGCUCGACCCGCCCGAACAGGCCGACGUGCUUGCCGGCUCCCCAAGUCGGCCGGUAAGCGGCCGAGUGCUUGUCGAGCGUGCUUUCCGCAAACAGGAACGAAUUGCUGGUCCCGUCCGUGAUCUUUUGAAUGGAAGAGGAUUGUUGCACGCCAAACGCCCCUUGCCACUCGACACGGUGCCGCGGCCCACUGGUCACGG
RNAcentral lists this unclassified non-coding RNA (327 nucleotides) under uncultured fungus. Its description in RNAcentral is "sequence contains ITS1". Lineage: Eukaryota; Fungi. The record is from RNAcentral.